GAUUAAACCUUGGGUCUGCCCAUAGCUUCUUCAUUGUAGAGAACAGUUUGGCUAUAUAACUCCAAACACCAGCGCUGGAUAGGUAAGCGCAAAUAACUCUCAAAUGCUGGGUCUCAUUUUCUGUACAGUUCCACCUGCUCAUGUACCACCAAGACCUGAUGUGGGUUAAUUGAUGUGAGGCUGUGGCACACGGCACCAUCGGACAACCACUGUCAUGUACUCCAUCAUUUUAAAGCUUGUCGAGCAGACAGAGAUCUGUUUCUGAGGAGAAACCAAGCACAGAAUGAUCUCUUCUGCUUUUAUGCACUGAUGAGGACCUUAAAAUGUCCGUACAGAUCUGAAUCAUCCCACUUCAUAAAUUUAUCCAAACACCCCUUGUUUGUCUCACCAAGGUUUCUCAUUUUUUUAAACGAAAGGUGGUUGGAUAAAUUACAAAAUAUCUGGUUGGAUAUACAACAUGUGAUUGGAUAAAUGAGAAACCUGACCGGAGCAACGACGUCCGGUCGAAUAAACGAGAGGUGGUCGGAU
This 528-nucleotide unclassified non-coding RNA is filed under the name Hevea brasiliensis (rubber tree). Lineage: Eukaryota; Viridiplantae; Streptophyta; Magnoliopsida; Malpighiales; Euphorbiaceae. The record is from RNAcentral.